Molecule: ribosomal RNA, 318 nt
Filed under: Hemipepsis sp.
Lineage: Eukaryota; Metazoa; Arthropoda; Insecta; Hymenoptera; Pompilidae
Description: SSU rRNA
Rfam family: Eukaryotic small subunit ribosomal RNA
Source: RNAcentral
UCGUAUUGAAUUUGUGUGCCACACUGUCGGUACACCGCUCGUCGGUGCUUACUGACACGAUGUGGGACGUCCUACCGGUGGGCUUAGCUUUGCUCCGGCUUAGCGGUCCAAAGAUAUAUCCCAUCGCGGUGCUCUUUACUGAGUGUCGAGGUGGGCCGGUACGUUUACUUUGAACAAAUUAAAGUGCUUAAAGCAGGCUACAUUCGCCUGAAUAUUCUGUGCAUGGAAUAAUGGAAUAGGACCUCGGUUCUAUUUUGUUGGUUUUCGGAACCCCGAGGUAAUGAUUAAUAGGGACAGAUGGGGGCAUUCGUAUUGCGA